GGAAGUAAAAGUCGUAACAAGGUUUCCGUAGGUGAACCUGCGGAAGGAUCAUUAUUGUAUAACCGAGGUGCGAGGGCUGUCGCUGACCCGAAAGGUCGUGCACGCCCGAGUGCCCUCACACACAUCCAUCUCACCCCUAUGUGCACCACCGCGUGGGUCCCCCUUUGGCUUGUUCGGAGGGGGGCUUACGUUUUCACACAAACUUUGUAUGCAGUGUAGAAUGUAUUUUUUGUUUUUGCGAUCACGCAAUCAAUACAACUUUCAACAACGGAUCUCUUGGCUCUC
This 285-nucleotide unclassified non-coding RNA is filed under the name plant metagenome. Its description in RNAcentral is "partial contains small subunit ribosomal RNA, internal transcribed spacer 1, and 5.8S ribosomal RNA". The stretch from base 1 to 54 matches the Rfam family "Eukaryotic small subunit ribosomal RNA", at positions 1778 to 1831 of the family's 1831-position model. The record is from RNAcentral.